GGAGUGGCUCAGUGGUAGAGUGCUUGCCUUGCAUGCAUGAGGCCCUGGGUUCAAUUCCUCAGCACC
Molecule: transfer RNA, 66 nt
Filed under: Dipodomys ordii (Ord's kangaroo rat)
Lineage: Eukaryota; Metazoa; Chordata; Mammalia; Rodentia; Heteromyidae
Rfam family: tRNA
About the family: Transfer RNA (tRNA) molecules are approximately 80 nucleotides in length. Their secondary structure includes four short double-helical elements and three loops (D, anti-codon, and T loops). Further hydrogen bonds mediate the characteristic L-shaped molecular structure. tRNAs have two regions of fundamental functional importance: the anti-codon, which is responsible for specific mRNA codon recognition, and the 3' end, to which the tRNAs corresponding amino acid is attached (by aminoacyl-tRNA synthetases). tRNAs cope with the degeneracy of the genetic code in two manners: having more than one tRNA (with a specific anti-codon) for a particular amino acid; and 'wobble' base-pairing, i.e. permitting non-standard base-pairing at the 3rd anti-codon position.
Source: Rfam by way of RNAcentral